Macadamia integrifolia is the source of this 1629-nucleotide long non-coding RNA. RefSeq lists it as uncharacterized. The record is from RefSeq and is a predicted model, not a curated record. The transcript has 3 exons. Lineage: Eukaryota; Viridiplantae; Streptophyta; Magnoliopsida; Proteales; Proteaceae.
UCUACGCUUUCAUCCCCGACCUCCUGAUUGCGGAACCCACUUUCCCUCCCUGCAACAAUCAUGUUUUUUUUUUUUCUUUGAUAACCUCUUUCUCUCUCAGAGAUCUUCUACUCUUCCUUUUUAAUUGGUAUGUACAUCGUCGGCCGUAACUGCGCCAUCGAUUAUUUCCGGCGUCGGUUGUUUCCUUACAUAAUAGCCGCCAUAGUUAUCUCUAGUCUCACUGAAUCCUCCCAAAACCCAAAACUCAAAACUGAAAAACAAAAGAAGAAGAAAGAAUCCGUCGACGAGUCAGUUUUCCAACGAUCGAAGACGCGUCACUCGUGGUGUGCUCGACUAUGAACAUGCACAUAAUCCUUCGAUUGUUUUUCAUCUAGUUAGUGUGUCUCUAUAAGUAAUAGAGAGGUAGACAAGAUGGCCAACCACAGAGAAAUGGAAAACAACGCAAACAAAUGCAUUCAGAGCUUACAAAACUAUUCAUUACAUGAAAGAAGGUUGCUGCCUUAAUGAAGUUGAAUCUGACGAAGAGACGUACCAGUCAGUGCUUGCACUGUAGUAAUAGAGACGUACCAGUCAGUGCAAAGCUGUUUCGUGAGCUUACCUUCCUUCAAUUGGCUACUCAAGUGGCUAGUGCCAAGUGCCCUUCCCAAAAACACAAUCCCUAUGGAGAUUAGUCCUAGUUGUAGCUUUCAAGUCAAUCAAAGGUACUGCAUUCACAAUGACAUUGUUCAUGUACAUUCGGUUUUAUUGGAAGGGUCAUCUACCUUGAUGUGAUAUUUGGAGGAGGGGAUAGCUACAUUGCGGUUUGUAUGCACCAGAAACCUGCCUGCACAUGGACAAGACAAGCUGCACCUCUACUACAAAUACACAACGAGGGGCAGAGAACCCCUCGCUGUCACGGCUGUGCUACUGGAGGCUCUGGGGAAGUCAGAAUAGGAGAGCACUUAUCUUGGGGUGGGCUUACCACUUAGAUGCUUUCAGCUGUCGCACCUUACUACUACAAAUAGACAACGAACAUGUCAACAAGCAACGCAGUUGUACUUUUAUCAACCAAAGCAUAUUGUUUGGUAACGUACAUUUACAUAACUGCAGUUUAUUUGUUGGCCCAUGCAUAUUUACUUUUGUCAUAUACUGGAUUAGAGCCUAAAUGCAAACCCAGAUAUAGUUUUUCUUUUGGUCAAUAUGAUUAGGAUUAAUAUUUAAUAGUGAAAGAAAUAUUACAUUGGUUAUUUAUUUUCAACAAAGCCUUAAUUUCAUACCUUGCUUUAUUUAAGGGAUACAUCAAAAGUGUUCUGUGGAUUGAAUUGAACAUUUUGGAAAUUUUGUAACCCAUGUUGUAUCUGUCUUUGCUUUCAAUUCCAACUUCUUUGGGCAUAAUGAAAGAUCUACAACACGACUAGAGCUACUACAAAGCAGCCUGUUCUCUAUAGCAGAAAGAGGCUUCAUGGCCACGCAUCAAAUUCCAUGUACAUGGGGAUGCAUGCGGAUACAAAUGAGAAUACAAAUGAGAGUAUUUGAUUGAAUUAGUCUCUGAACUUUGACUAGUGGCUGUAUUCAACAGGCAGAAUCAAGAGGCAAAAAAACACAUGGUACAAUGAAGGUCGAUCGCUUUGGUUAGCUCAAUGAAGCCCA